This 65-nucleotide transfer RNA is filed under the name Dermatobia hominis (human botfly). RNAcentral describes it as "tRNA-Ile". Lineage: Eukaryota; Metazoa; Arthropoda; Insecta; Diptera; Oestridae. The record is from RNAcentral.
AAUGAAUUGCCUGAAAAAAGGGUUAUCUUGAUAGGAUAAAUUAUGUAAUAAUAUUACAUUCAUUG